Molecule: long non-coding RNA, 1230 nt
Filed under: Capra hircus (goat)
Lineage: Eukaryota; Metazoa; Chordata; Mammalia; Artiodactyla; Bovidae
Description: lncRNA (ENSCHIG00000007464.1)
Source: RNAcentral
CCCUCCCCUCACCCCUAUAAGGAAUAAGCUUCUCCCCCACUCUGCAGAACCAGCAAUCGACCUGUUGUUUAUUCUCCCUGUCUUCUGCCGCAGCAUGGGCCGCUAGUCGAUUUCUAUUGAUUGGGGAAGGCCAAGACCUCUGUUUCCUAACAGAGGGAGGGAGAGGACUGGGGACACUGAUAAUGUUUAUUUCGUGAACGUGGAAAUGUGAAUUACUAACUGCUGCUUGAGACAGGAUUUGCUCUUCGGGAAGUUUAAUAUGAGUCUAGGAGAGCUCGGAAGUUUCUUUCUUGCAAGAUGGAUUCUCCCGCAGUCUUGUUUUGGAUUUCAAAGGUCUGUGAAAAAGGGAACAGAUGACCCUGUGCUUGUAGCGUUGAGCACGAGGUUUUAAGAAUACAAGGAAACACAGUUUAUUCUUGUUUGGGAAGGGAGACACUGAUCACGAAGCUGGUUUCCGCUGGCGGAGUGUGAUCACUGCGGCUGUGCAAAGUCCGGAGACUGCACAGAUAUGAGGGAGAGGGGCGCUUGUGUGAGCUUCCCCGUCUAGUGCCAGAGUCAAAGUGAGUGUUUAUGCAACUGACCUUUCAGGUUAAGGGCGAUCAUUUGCUGCUUGUUUGAAAGAAAGCGUGUUUUGCCCUUGGGCUUGAAGCUUUAAACUGACAACCUACUUUUAUCGACUCAAGGACUGGACCGUCAAACCUGAAAAGAAAAUCAACGACUUUCUUUCCAACCUGUUGUUCCAGCCAAUCCCUUUGGGAAGAACAACUGGAAGACUUGGACCCCCACCCCCCGCCCCCACAAAUGCUUAAGCAUGCUUCUGAAGCUGCAGUCUUCCUAAACCACCAUGGGGCUUCCAGUGGUCUCAGAGGUCAUCAAGGGCCUCUCCAGAGCAGUCAACGCCCCUUCCUCCACCAGCACUUCUCAACUUUGGCUGCCCAGUGGAACAGUCACCUGGGAUGGCGUAUAGCAAUGACCUUGAAGGCUGUCUCAAUGCACAAGGCUCUCUGUUCCCUACGUCAAGCAGCACAUAUUGAGCUCUGCAUGGAUCUUCUGAUUAAUCCUCCAAUACCCACUGAGAUGCAAACACAAAGGGGAAGAAAUGCAGCCUUGAUUGAGGAUGGCUGGAGUGGGAAAAACCUGACACCUGCUAUAACUGGCCAUUCGCAGGAAAUGCCUGCUGAGGAAGGACCUGGGAGGGAACGGGAGCGCCUCACUUCAACCUGGAUCUAA